Marmota monax (woodchuck) is the source of this 499-nucleotide long non-coding RNA. RefSeq lists it as uncharacterized. Lineage: Eukaryota; Metazoa; Chordata; Mammalia; Rodentia; Sciuridae. The record is from RefSeq and is a predicted model, not a curated record. The transcript has 3 exons.
CUGUGACUUGUGCUGAACAGAAAGUGGUGAAAGUGUCAUGCUAUGACAAUUGAACCCUGGUCUCCAGCAAUCAUUUGGCUUCUGUUUUUCUCCUGAGAUUCCAGCAGGUAUCGCUAAGCCUCAGGACCUGGCAAUAUUUACAAAUCCUGUUAAACCCAUGGACCACCCAAGGUCACACUUUAUCCUUGAACUCUGGACUCUGCAGUUUGCAAUUAAGAAACAAACCAAAGACCAAACAAAAUAAAGUAAAACCUUCUGCUGGGCUGGCGAUGGAUCCAUGGUACUGAAAAAUAGCUCCAUUGAACUUCUGCCAGAGACUGUGGGUCACAGUCUCCAUGAGCUUGGGUUUUGUCAUCUGCAAAUGAAGUAAUGAUAGCUAAAUUCUUCCCUGUGGCUUUGAGGUUAGAAUGCUGUGUAUGUAAUGACGUUAUGUAAAGGACUAAGGGACUCUUGGGAAAGAACUCAAGGGAACAGCAAAUAAAGUUAAGCUCUGAUGGCC